This 207-nucleotide ribosomal RNA is filed under the name Triticum aestivum (bread wheat). Its description in RNAcentral is "partial small subunit ribosomal RNA". The record is from RNAcentral. Lineage: Eukaryota; Viridiplantae; Streptophyta; Magnoliopsida; Poales; Poaceae.
AUGAUGCAGAAAGCCGGCCGAGGUGAGGCCCAAGACCUGGACGGCAGCUCUUUGCAGAUAGUGGCAACUGUGGCGUACGCCAUGAAGCGGGGGCAGCCCAGAGCAGAGGUCAAGCAAAGGCGGCUCAAUGGCGACCGCGGCGUGGCAAAGCCAACAGGUGGCUUGGCCAAGCGCACAGGCGAUGUUGCUCGGAAUGAGCCGGCUUAG